This 498-nucleotide ribosomal RNA is filed under the name uncultured bacterium. RNAcentral describes it as "bacterial SSU rRNA". It matches the Rfam family "Bacterial small subunit ribosomal RNA", at positions 15 to 507 of the family's 1533-position model. The record is from RNAcentral.
GAUCCUGGCUCAGAUUGAACGCUGGCGGCAUGCCUUACACAUGCAAGUCGAACGGCAGCACGGGACUUCGGUCUGGUGGCGAGUGGCGAACGGGUGAGUAAUAUAUCGGAACGUGCCCAGUCGUGGGGGAUAACGUAGUGAAAAUUACGCUAAUACCGCAUACGAUCUAAGGAUGAAAGCGGGGGAUCGCAAGACCUCGCGCGAUUGGAGCGGCCGAUAUCAGAUUAGGUAGUUGGUAGGGUAAAGGCCUACCAAGCCAACGAUCUGUAGCUGGUCUGAGAGGACGACCAGCCACACUGGAACUGAGACACGGUCCAGACUCCUACGGGAGGCAGCAGUGGGGAAUUUUGGACAAUGGGCGCAAGCCUGAUCCAGCAAUGCCGCGUGCAGGAAGAAGGCCUUCGGGUUGUAAACUGCUUUUGUACGGAACGAAACGGUCUGGGCUAAUACCCCGGGCUAAUGACGGUACCGUAAGAAUAAGCACCGGCUAACUACGUG